RNAcentral lists this non-coding RNA (24 nucleotides) under Arabidopsis thaliana (thale cress). Lineage: Eukaryota; Viridiplantae; Streptophyta; Magnoliopsida; Brassicales; Brassicaceae. The record is from RNAcentral.
AUGCAUGAUUGGCAGUGACUGAGA